GCCAGUGUGCUAUAGUGGUUUGAGCAUUGGACUAUGACUCUGGAGAGCAGGGUUCAAUUCCCUGCUCAGCCA
RNAcentral lists this transfer RNA (72 nucleotides) under Phrynosoma platyrhinos (Desert horned lizard). RNAcentral describes it as "tRNA-OTHER". Lineage: Eukaryota; Metazoa; Chordata; Lepidosauria; Squamata; Phrynosomatidae. The record is from RNAcentral.